RNAcentral lists this ribosomal RNA (500 nucleotides) under uncultured bacterium. RNAcentral's name for it is "partial 16S ribosomal RNA". It matches the Rfam family "Bacterial small subunit ribosomal RNA", at positions 30 to 523 of the family's 1533-position model. The record is from RNAcentral.
AUUGAACGCUGGCGGAAUGCUUUACACAUGCAAGUCGAACGGCAGCACGGACUUCGGUCUGGUGGCGAGAGGCGAACGGGUGAGUAAUGUAUCGGAACGUGCCCAGUCGUGGGGGAUAACGUAGUGAAAAUUACGCUAAUACCGCAUACGAUCUAUGGAUGAAAGCGGGGGAUCGCAAGACCUCGCGCGAUUGGAGCGGCCGAUAUCGGAUUAGGUAGUUGGUGGGGUAAAGGCCCACCAAGCCAACGAUCUGUAGCUGGUCUGAGAGGACGACCAGCCACACUGGAACUGAGACACGGUCCAGACUCCUACGGGAGGCAGCAGUGGGGAAUUUUGGACAAUGGGCGAAAGCCUGAUCCAGCCAUUCCGCGUGCAGGAUGAAGGCCCUCGGGUUGUAAACUGCUUUUGUACAGAACGAAAAGGUUUCUACUAAUACUAGGAGCUCAUGACGGUACUGUAAGAAUAAGCACCGGCUAACUACGUGCCAGCAGCCGCGGUAA